This 631-nucleotide long non-coding RNA is filed under the name Pogona vitticeps (central bearded dragon). Its description in RNAcentral is "lncRNA (ENSPVIG00000025621.1)". Lineage: Eukaryota; Metazoa; Chordata; Lepidosauria; Squamata; Agamidae. The record is from RNAcentral.
AUGACCAUUAUGAUUCCUUAUAUACAACAGAGAAUGGACUGCAUCAGACCAAACUUACUAAGUCUCCCAUGCUCUGCAACAGGAAUUAGCAAUACUGUACGUGGUCUGUCAGAUAUUGUUGCACUGCAAUUCCCACCAUCCAUAGGUAAUACAGUUAAUGAUGAAGAAAGACUGGGCAGCUUGGAGGACAUAUCUCAACACCACCUGAUGAGCAAGCCAUUGUCCACCGUUUCUUUGGACCGUUUAUGGAUCUCUCUGCUUCUUGGUGAGAAAAUGCCCCAUGAAUGGAAUUGCUGCAUGAUACGUCUUCCUCAGCUUUAGCUAAACCAUAGACAUUUAAAAAUGUUCUAGACCUCUGAAGAUGACUAAGCCACUGCUUGUCCAUGGAUAUAAAGGUCUUCAUGUUUUUUUGACCUGUGACCACUUUUAGCCUAAGCAUGCAUUUGAAGAACUAUAUCUUAACUUUUUAGGAGCAUUUUUUUUAAUGAUAACUCUGUUGCUGUUGAAAGACACUUUAACUGAGAUUAGAACUACAGUGGUGCCUCGCGUAGCGAUGAUAAUCCGUGCACCAAAAAUCGCUGCAAAGCGAUUUCAUCGCUAUGCGAAAUAAAAAAAAGCCCAUAGGAAUGCA